GGAAGGGAUAAACGCUGAAAGCAUAUAAGCGUGAAGCCCACUCCAAGAUUAGGUAUCGCAUCCCCUAGAGGGAGAAAGACACCUUGUAGACUACGAGGUUGAUAGGCCAGGUGUGUAAGUGCAGUAAUGCAUUUAGCUGACUGGUACUAAUCUGUCGAGGGGCUUAGCU
Molecule: ribosomal RNA, 169 nt
Filed under: Planctomycetia bacterium
Lineage: Bacteria; Pseudomonadati; Planctomycetota; Planctomycetia
Description: partial 23S ribosomal RNA
Rfam family: Bacterial large subunit ribosomal RNA
Source: RNAcentral